Molecule: small RNA, 648 nt
Filed under: Pan troglodytes (chimpanzee)
Lineage: Eukaryota; Metazoa; Chordata; Mammalia; Primates; Hominidae
Description: processed transcript
Source: RNAcentral
CCAGCAGUGGCGGUUCUGUCUACAGGUUCUGUCUGCUUCCCACUUAACAGACCCAUUUUGGCUUUCUAUCACUCAAAGACAGGGUUUCCCAGGCUGGAGUGCAUGGUGCAGUCAUAGCUCAUUGUAACCUCGAGCUCCUGGGCUCAAGUGAUUCUCCUGCCCCAGCUUCCCAAGUAGCUAGGACUACAGAACCAAGGUGGGAAGCUGGCAGUGCUUGGUUCAUGUCACAUGUUCAGUGAUCAAUAUUUGGACAAAGAAGAAAACAGCAAAAUCAUGGAUGUUGUUUUCCAGUGGCUCACGACAGGAGACAUCCACCUAAACCAGAUUGAUGCUGAGGACCCAGAGAUUUCUGACUACAUGAUGCUGCCCUACACAGCCACCCUAUCAAAGCGGAAUCGAGAGUGUCUCCAGGAGAGUGAUGAGAUCCCAAGGGACUUUACCACCCUCUUUGACCUGUCCAUCUUCCAGCUGGAUACCACCUCCUUCCACAGCGUCAUCGAGGCUCACGAGCAGCUAAAUGUGAAACAUGAACCACUCCAGCUCAUCCAGCCUCAGUUUGAGACGCCGCUGCCAACCCUUCAGCCUGCGGUUUUUCCUCCCAGUUUCCGGGAGUUACCACCUCCUCCUCUGGAGCUAUUUGAUUUAGAU